CGGGACAGUUGAGACCAAGGGGAUGGCGGGAGCGGGGGGAGGAGCCAGAGGGUUGGCGGGGGACCACGCGGGAAGGGGGCGGGGCGGCAGAAGAGAGCAGUUGCGCUUUACGACAGUUUUGAGACAGUCGCGCUUUACGGUAGUUUUACGUCAGCCGCGCUUUAUGGCAGUUUUACGACACUUUUAGGACCGUCGCGCUUUAUGGCAUUUUUUACCACAGUCGCACUUUACGGUAGUGUUUUUAAAAGAAAAACAUGACAAUGUCUCUGUUACCAUGCUCACUUAAGCUGUCUAUUGGUGAUUUGUAACAUUUUUUAAAAUAAAACUCAAACGCUUUUUACUUUUUUUACUUUUGUAAGUAAAUAUGCUAUGAAGAGGGCUUCAAAGGAAAUAUGAUUACUUAGCAUCCAACUGUUGCUAAAUUCAUUGGUUGAUCAUCAAUAUCAUGGAUUUUUUAAUGUUUCUGAUACAGACCAUUCACAAGCUGUCCGAUAAUUAUUUAUCAGCCAUCUGCAUCAGCAUCAUCUGCACGACCAGUGAUGGCCAAAAAACAGGAAGGAGGAAAAGCGGUUAAGCUGUAGGCAGGAAAGGGAAGGCAGAAACCAAGCAGCAAACAAUUGGCACCUGGGGUCCUCUGAAGACUAAAAGUGGGAAAAAAAUGGCUUAAUUGAAAAAUCUCCCUAUUGUGUGUGCAGUCUCCAAGGGGAAACAAACAAACCCAUUCAAAGGAAGGGGAAAAAUAGGCAAAAAUUCCCUCGGCAUUUUCUCCAAGCGAGGCUCCGUGCCUGGGCGCACCCGCCUGCUCCGUGCCCCUGCUGGAUGCUCCGACCGCCGUUCCCCGAGGGACAUUCGGGAUAUUUCCGUUUCCUUCUCUGCGCUGAGAGUUCCCUGUGCGAGUGUGCCCAGGAUGGAGGUGUUCUGAAUAGGAAGCCUCUUAGUUUAGAAGUUAUUCAAGAAGGUCUUGGAACAUGGCAGCCAGAAAUGCCUGAAGAGUUCACAGAAACUGCAGGCACCUGUUAAAAGCACAAGUAUAUGGAUCUUUUUGUUUUAGAAUAAAAAUGGCUGGUUAACAAACA
This 1076-nucleotide long non-coding RNA is filed under the name Junco hyemalis (dark-eyed junco). RNAcentral describes it as "lncRNA (ENSJHYG00000015115.1)". Lineage: Eukaryota; Metazoa; Chordata; Aves; Passeriformes; Passerellidae. The record is from RNAcentral.